UACGGAGGAUGCGAGCGUUAUCCGGAUUUAUUGGGUUUAAAGGGUGCGUAGGCUGGUAAAUAAGUCAGCGGUGAAACUCACAGGCUCAACCUGUGCCGUGCCGUUGAAACUGUCUAUCUAGAAUUCGGAUGCUGUGGGAGGAAUGUGUAGUGUAGCGGUGAAAUGCAUAGAUAUUACACAGAACGCCGAUUGCGAAGGCAUCUCACAAAGCCGUUAUUGACGCUGAGGCACGAAAGUGUGGGGAUCAAACAGG
Molecule: ribosomal RNA, 253 nt
Filed under: uncultured bacterium
Lineage: Bacteria
Description: partial 16S ribosomal RNA
Rfam family: Bacterial small subunit ribosomal RNA
Source: RNAcentral